AGAGUUUGAUCCUGGCUCAGGAUGAACGCUGGCGGCGUGCCUAACACAUGCAAGUCGAACGAAGCACUUGCGAUUGAUUCUUCGGAUGAAGUCGCUUGUGACUGAGUGGCGGACGGGUGAGUAACGCGUGGGUAACCUGCCUCGUACUGGGGGAUAACAGUUAGAAAUGACUGCUAAUACCGCAUAAGACCACAGAGUCACAUGACUCAGUGGGAAAAACUCCGGUGGUACGAUAUGGACCCGCUGUCUGAUUAGUUAGUUGGUGGGGUAACGGCCUACCAAGACGACGAUCAGUAGCCGACCUGAGAGGGUGACCGGCCACAUUGGGACUGAAACACGGCCCAAACUCCUACGGGAGGCAGCAGUGGGGAAUAUUGCACAAUGGGGGAAACCCUGAUGCAGCGACGCCGCGUGAGCGAAGAAGUAUUUCGGUAUGUAAAGCUCUAUCAGCAGGGAAGAAAAUGACGGUACCUGACUAAGAAGCACCGGCUAAAUACGUGCCAGCAGCCGCGGUAAUACGUAUGGUGCAAGCGUUAUCCGGAUUUACUGGGUGUAAAGGGAGCGUAGACGGCUGUGUAAGUCUGAAGUGAAAGCCCGGGGCUCAACUCGCGGGACUGCUUUGGAAACUAUGCAGUUAGAGUGUCGGAGAGGUAAGUGGAAUUCCCAGUGUAGCGGUGAAAUGCGUAGAUAUUGGGAGGAACACCAGUGGCGAAGGCGGCCUACUGGACGAUCACUGACGUUGAGGCUCGAAAGCGUGGGGAGCAAACAGGAUUAGAUACCCUGGUAGUCCACGCCGUAAACGAUGACUACUAGGUGUCGGGGAGCAAAGCUCUUCGGUGCCGCAGCAAACGCAAUAAGUAGUCCUCCUGGGGAGUACGUUCGCAAGAAUGAAACUCAAAGGAAUUGACGGGGACCCGCACAAGCGGUGGAGCAUGUGGUUUAAUUCGAAGCAACGCGAAGAACCUUCCCUGCUCUUGACAUCCCUCUGACCGGACAGUAAUGUGUCCUUUCCUUCGGGACAGAGGAGACAGGUGGUGCAUGGUCGUCGUCAGCUCGUGUCGUGAGAUGUUGGGUUAAGUCCCGCAACGAGCGCAACCCUUAUCUUUAGUAGCCAGCAUUUCGGAUGGGCACUCUAGAGAGACUGCCAGGGAUAACCUGGAGGAAGGUGGGGAUGACGUCAAAUCAUCAUGCCCCUUAUGAGCAGGGCUACACACGUGCUACAAUGGCGUAAACAAAGGGAGGCAAGCCUGCGAGGGUAAGCAAAUCUCAAAAAUAACGUCUCAGUUCGGAUUGUAGUCUGCAACUCGCCUACAUGAAGCUGGAAUCGCUAGUAAUCGCGAAUCAGCAUGUCGCGGUGAAUACGUUCCCGGGUCUUGUACUCACCGCCCGUCA
Molecule: ribosomal RNA, 1392 nt
Filed under: uncultured bacterium
Lineage: Bacteria
Description: bacterial SSU rRNA
Rfam family: Bacterial small subunit ribosomal RNA
Source: RNAcentral